RNAcentral lists this ribosomal RNA (259 nucleotides) under uncultured bacterium. RNAcentral's name for it is "partial 16S ribosomal RNA". It matches the Rfam family "Bacterial small subunit ribosomal RNA", at positions 793 to 1050 of the family's 1533-position model. The record is from RNAcentral.
GUCCAUGCCGUAAACGGUGGGCGCUAGGUGUGGGUUUCCUUCCACGGGAUCCGUGCCGUAGCUAACGCAUUAAGCGCCCCGCCUGGGGAGUACGGCCGCAAGGCUAAAACUCAAAGGAAUUGACGGGGGCCCGCACAAGCGGCGGAGCAUGUGGAUUAAUUCGAUGCAACGCGAAGAACCUUACCUGGGCUUGACAUGCACUGGAUGCGGCCAGAGAUGGUUGUUCCCUUUGUGGCUGGUGUGCAGGUGGUGCAUGGUU